This is a long non-coding RNA of Oncorhynchus kisutch (coho salmon), 2607 nucleotides long. Lineage: Eukaryota; Metazoa; Chordata; Actinopteri; Salmoniformes; Salmonidae. The record is from Ensembl.
UUCCUGCCAAGGCAGCAGCUACUCUUUCCUGGGGUUUAUUAUGGAUCCCCAUUAGUUCCUGCCAAGGCAGCAGCUACUCUUCCUGGGGUUUAUUAUGGAUCCCCAUUAGUUCCUGCCAAGGCAGCAGCUACUCUUCCUGGGGUUUAUUAUGGAUCCACAUUAGUUCCUGCCAAGGCAGCAGCUACUCUUCCUGGGGUUUAUUAUGGAUCCCCAUUAGUUCCUGUCAAGGCAGCAGCUACUCUUCCUGGGGUUUAUUAUGGAUCCCCAUUAGUUCCUGUCAAGGCAGCAGCUACUCUUCCUGGGGUUUAUUAUGGAUACCCAAUAGUUCCUGCCAAGGCAGCAGCUACUCUUCCUGGGGUUUAUUAUGGAUCCCCAUUAGUUCCCGCCAAGGCAACAGCUACUCUUCCUGGGGUUUAUUAUGGAUCCCCAUUAGUUCCUGCCAAGGCAGCAGCUACUCUUCCUGGGGUUUAUUAUGGAUCCCCAUUAGUUCCUGCCAAGGCAGCAGCUACUCUUCCUGGGGUUUAUUAUGGAUCCCCAUUACUUCCUGCAAAGGCAGCAGCUACUCUUCCUGGGGUUUAUUAUGGAUCCCCAUUAGUUCCUGCCAAGGCAGCAGCUACUCUUCCUGGGGUUUAUUAUGGAUCCCCAUUACUUCCUGCAAAGGCAGCAGCUACUCUUCCUGGGGUUUAUUAUGGAUCCCCAUUAGUUCCUGCCAAGGCAGCAGCUACUCUUCCUGGGGUUUAUUAUGGAUCCCCAUUAGUUCCUGCAAAGGCAGCAGCUACUCUUCCUGGGGUUUAUUAUGGAUCCCCAUUAGUUCCUGCCAAGGCAGCAGCUACUCUUCCUGGGGUUUAUUAUGGAUACCCAAUAGUUCCUGCCAAGGCAGCAGAUACUCUUCCUGGGGUUUAUUAUGGAUCCCCAAUAGUUCCUGCCAAGGCAGCAGCUACUCUUCCUGGGGUUUAUUAUGGAUACCCAAUAGUUCCUGCCAAGGCAGCAGAUACUCUUCCUGGGGUUUAUUAUGGAUCCCCAAUAGUUCCUGCCAAGGCAGCAGAUACUCUUCCUGGGGUUUAUUAUGGAUCCCCAUUAGUUCCCGCCAAGGCAACAGCUACUCUUCCUGGGGUUUAUUAUGGAUCCCCAUUAGUUCCUGCCAAGGUAGCAGCUACUCUUCCUGGGGUUUAUUAUGGAUCCCCAUUAGUUCCUGCCAAGGCAGCAGCUACUCUUCCUGGGGUUUAUUAUGGAUCCCCAUUAGUUCCUGCCAAGGCAGCAGCUACUCUUCCUGGGGUUUAUUAUGGAUCCCCAUUAGUUCCUGCCAAGGCAGCAGCUACUCUUCCUGGGGUUUAUUAUGGAUCCCCAUUAGUUCCUACAGCAGCUACUCUUCCUGGGGUUUAUUAUGGAUCCCCAUUAGUUCCCGCCAAGGCAACAGCUACUCUUCCUGGGGUUUAUUAUGGAUCCCCAUUAGUUCCUGCCAAGGUAGCAGCUACUCUUCCUGGGGUUUAUUAUGGAUCCCCAUUAGUUCCUGCCAAUGCAGCAGCUACUCUUCCUGGGGUUUAUUAUGGAUCCCCAUUAGUUCCUGCCAAGGCAGCAGCUAGUCUUCCUGGGGUUUAUUAUGGAUCCCCAUUAGUUCCUGCCAAGGCAGCAGCUACUCUUCCUGGGGUUUAUUAUGGAUCCCCAUUAGUUCCUGCCAAGGCAGCAGCUACUCUUCCUGGGGUUUAUUAUGGAUCCCCAUUAGUUCCUGCCAAGGCAGCAGCUACUCUUCCUGGGGUUAAUUAUGGAUCCCCAUUAGUUCCUGCCAAGGCAGCAGCUACUCUUCCUGGGGUUUAUUAUGGAUCCCCAUUAGUUCCUGCAAAGGCAGCAGCUACUCUUCCUGGGGUUUAUUAUGGAUCCCCAUUAGUUCCUGCCAAGGCAGCAGCUACUCUUCCUGGGGUUUAUUAUGGAUACCCAAUAGUUCCUGCCAAGGCAGCAGAUACUCUUCCUGGGGUUUAUUAUGGAUCCCCAAUAGUUCCUGCCAAGGCAGCAGCUACUCUUCCUGGGGUUUAUUAUGGAUCCCCAUUAGUUCCUGCCAAGGCAGCAGAUACUCUUCCUGGGGUUUAUUAUGGAUCCCCAAUAGUUCCUGCCAAGGCAGCAGAUACUCUUCCUGGGGUUUAUUAUGGAUCCCCAAUAGUUCCUGCCAAGGCAGCAGCUACUCUUCCUGGGGUUUAUUAUGGAUCCCCAUUAGUUCCUGCCAAGGCAGCAGAUACUCUUCCUGGGGUUUAUUAUGGAUCCCCAAUAGUUCCUGCCAAGGCAGCAGCUACUCUUCCUGGGGUUUAUUAUGGAUCCCCAUUAGUUCCUGCCAAGUAUGUCACAACAAGCUUGGCACACCUGUAUUUGGGGAGUUUCUCUCAUUCUUCUCUGCAGAUCCUCUCAAGCUCUGUCAGGUUGGAUGGGCACCGUUGCUGCACAGCUAUUUUCAGGUCUCUCAAGAGAUGUUCGUUCGGGUUCAAGUCUGGGCUCUGGCUGGGCCACUCAAGGUCAUUCAGAGACUUAUCCCAAAGCUACUCCUGCGUUGCCUUGGCUGUGUGCUUAGGUUCAUUUUCUUGUUGGAAGGUGAACCUUCACCCCAGUCUGAGGUCCUGA